AAAAAAGGUAAGCUACUAAGAGCGAAUGGUGGAUGCCUUGACUGGUAAAGGCGAUGAAGGACGUACUAGACUGCGAUAAGCUACGGGGAGCUGUCAAGAAGCUUUGAUCCGUAGAUUUCCGAAUGGGGCAACCCAAUGUAUAGAGAUAUGCAUUACCUAUAUAGGAGCGAACGAGGGGAAUUGAAACAUCUUAGUACCCUCAGGAAAAGAAA
RNAcentral lists this ribosomal RNA (212 nucleotides) under Campylobacter jejuni. Its description in RNAcentral is "partial 23S ribosomal RNA". It matches the Rfam family "Bacterial large subunit ribosomal RNA", at positions 1 to 224 of the family's 2925-position model. The record is from RNAcentral. Lineage: Bacteria; Pseudomonadati; Campylobacterota; Epsilonproteobacteria; Campylobacterales; Campylobacteraceae.